UAAAGUUUUUAAAGAAAAAGAUUGUGCAAGGAACAAAUCACAAGCUUAGGUUUCUAUAUUUACACUUUCGAUAAAUAUCCUUUAAGCUCGACCUUCAAUUAAAAUCGGUUAAUCCUUUUGCCCCAAACUGGAAAAAGAUGUUUUUGACGGUAUUUUAUACCCAACACUUACACUGGGGUUUCUUAAAUAUUCUAAAAUGCAUUUUAUUUGAAAAAUCAGUGUCCAUAUCGCAUUUUAAGGACAUAUGGAAUUACCUUUCCAGCGUUCCUGCUUGGACGGCUCGCAGUUAACAGCGCUACCGAAACCAGUUCGAUCCUGCCGACACCGCACUUCGCUCGGCGAGUGAACUACGAGAGCUCGGGGCUUCCACCAACUCCCAGUGCAGCGGGCCACGAAGGAUUCUACAGCCAGGCUCGAUUAAGGGUUCGUGAGAAUUUUAAGUUUGGUGGCUUCCGGCAGGACGGACUUGGCUCAGCUGCUGAAAUUAUCUGUGUAAGUAUAAAACGUUUUAUUCGUUUACACGUAUCGUAUUGAAGUACACUAUAUACUGCUACUGUUUGAAAACG
Molecule: long non-coding RNA, 566 nt
Filed under: Lepisosteus oculatus (spotted gar)
Lineage: Eukaryota; Metazoa; Chordata; Actinopteri; Semionotiformes; Lepisosteidae
Description: lncRNA (ENSLOCG00000021732.1)
Source: RNAcentral